Molecule: transfer RNA, 75 nt
Filed under: Candidatus Uzinura diaspidicola str. ASNER
Lineage: Bacteria; Pseudomonadati; Bacteroidota; Flavobacteriia; Flavobacteriales
Description: tRNA-Ile2 (CAT) (tRNA-Ile2-CAT-1-1)
Rfam family: tRNA
About the family: Transfer RNA (tRNA) molecules are approximately 80 nucleotides in length. Their secondary structure includes four short double-helical elements and three loops (D, anti-codon, and T loops). Further hydrogen bonds mediate the characteristic L-shaped molecular structure. tRNAs have two regions of fundamental functional importance: the anti-codon, which is responsible for specific mRNA codon recognition, and the 3' end, to which the tRNAs corresponding amino acid is attached (by aminoacyl-tRNA synthetases). tRNAs cope with the degeneracy of the genetic code in two manners: having more than one tRNA (with a specific anti-codon) for a particular amino acid; and 'wobble' base-pairing, i.e. permitting non-standard base-pairing at the 3rd anti-codon position.
Source: Rfam by way of RNAcentral
GGUCCAAUAGCUCAGUUUGGUUAGAGCAUUUGACUCAUAAUCAAAGUGUCACAGGUCCGAAUCCUGUUUGGACCA